GGAUUCCACGCCCAAGUGCAUUUAGUAGGAUUCUACAGGGCCCGGGCCACUCACUGCAUGACAUCCAAGCCUUGUCACAUCUGAACUCUUCCUAAGACUUUCAGGAUAUUCCAACUGCUACUGUAUCUGCUUCCCUGUGGAUUCUGCCUGGACUAUUGUGGAGUGAAGCGACUGGAUGCAGACCUAUUCCUGAAUGUCCCAAAGAAUUGAGGAACGAGUCAAGCUUCUGUCUGUGGAAUAACGCUUCUAAAACCGUAGUGGUAAUCAAUGGG
Molecule: long non-coding RNA, 272 nt
Filed under: Vombatus ursinus (common wombat)
Lineage: Eukaryota; Metazoa; Chordata; Mammalia; Diprotodontia; Vombatidae
Description: lncRNA (ENSVURG00010017702.1)
Source: RNAcentral